AGUGAACGCUGGCGGUAGGCCUAACACAUGCAAGUCGAACGGCAGCACAGUAAGAGCUUGCUCUUACGGGUGGCGAGUGGCGGACGGGUGAGGAAUACAUCGGAAUCUACUUUUUCGUGGGGGAUAACGUAGGGAAACUUACGCUAAUACCGCAUACGACCUACGGGUGAAAGCAGGGGAUCUUCGGACCUUGCGCGAUUGAAUGAGCCGAUGUCGGAUUAGCUAGUUGGCGGGGUAAAGGCCCACCAAGGCGACGAUCCGUAGCUGGUCUGAGGGGAUGAUCAGCCACACUGGAACUGAGACACGCUCCAGACUCCUACGGGAGGCAGCAGUGGGGAAUAUUGGACAGAGGGCGCAAGCCUGAUCCAGCCAUACCGCGUGUGUGAAGAAGGCCUUCGGGUUGUAAAGCCCUUUUGUUGGGAAAGAAAAGCAGCAGGUUAAUACCCCGCUGUUCUGACGGUACCCAAAGAAUAAGCACCGGCUAACUUCGUG
This 492-nucleotide ribosomal RNA is filed under the name uncultured bacterium. RNAcentral describes it as "partial 16S ribosomal RNA". It matches the Rfam family "Bacterial small subunit ribosomal RNA", at positions 29 to 507 of the family's 1533-position model. The record is from RNAcentral.